UGAUAACGUGGGUCAUGAUGA
Molecule: non-coding RNA, 21 nt
Filed under: Arabidopsis thaliana (thale cress)
Lineage: Eukaryota; Viridiplantae; Streptophyta; Magnoliopsida; Brassicales; Brassicaceae
Source: RNAcentral